Molecule: long non-coding RNA, 1826 nt
Organism: Oncorhynchus gorbuscha (pink salmon)
Lineage: Eukaryota; Metazoa; Chordata; Actinopteri; Salmoniformes; Salmonidae
Exons: 6
Source: RefSeq, a predicted model, not a curated record
AGGUGAUCAGUAGUGUGUGAGUUCUCACAUGGCUUGUCCUGAGAACAUGUUUUUUCUCAUUGUCCUCUUUAUAUCAGGUGUUUUGGCCUGUUUUGGCCAACGAAAUUUGAUCACCACAAUGCCAGAUAGACUGGAUGUACUGACUGGCUCCUGUAUGCAAAUCCCAUGUUCAUUUGAUAUUCCUGACCAACAUAAGGAUACAUUUAACAGCACAAUACUACCCUCUGGAGUGUGGAUUAAAGAAAACUCAAAAUUUGGUGAGCGUCCGGACAGCGUGAUAUUUAACAGUAGUAAGAUGGUCAACAGAUAUCAAGGCAAGAUAACUGGAAACAUGUCCCAGAAGAACUGCACCACUGCAUCCUUCUGUAGCUCAGUUGGUAGAGCAUGGCGCUUGAAACGCCAGAGUAGUGGGUUCAAUCCCCGGGACCACCCAUACGUAGAAUGUAUGCACACAUGACUGUAAGUCGCUUUGGAUAAAAGCGUCUGCUAAAUGGCAUAUAUUAUUAUUAUUAUUAUUAUUAUUCUUCAAUGUAACCACCGAUUACACUAAUAUAUACUUCUUCAGGAUUGAGAGUCAACCAUACAGUGCAACAGAUCCUGAUAAGUCUGUUGAUAUAGUUGUCAGUGAUUUGCCUUCCAGUCCCAUUAUUACUGUCUCAGGUGAGGUGAAGGAAGGGACCCCUGUCAGUUUGAACUGCUUAGCUGUCGCUCCCUGUCCUGAACACCCUCCUGAGCUGACAUGGACUCUCCCAACACAGUUCACAACUGAGAACCAACUGCAGGAGAAUCCAGACCAAACCAAAUCAGUUCUCUCCACAGUGACCUUCACUCCAUCAUACCUUCAUCAUGAGAAGAACAUCACUUGUACUGCAGUCUACAUAGUAGGGACAAGCACCAAGAAAGCUGAACAUAACAUGAUGCUUAACGUUGCAUGGCAUGAAGAGCCUGUUAACCCAAAGGUUUAUGAGAUUGUAGGAAAAACCUUGGGGUUGAUUUUCCUUUUCAGCCUGAUCGUAUUCUUUGCAUGGAGGAGGAGAACAUCUAGACUCCCCAGUGGGUUUGACAUGACAGACCGUUCACAGGGACUGGUGGGAAUGAACUCCCCGGUUGGGACAGUGUGCUCUAACCAGGCCACGGUCGGUAGAGGGAACCAGUAACCACCACUUAACAACCUAGAUGGGCUUUAAGCACAAUAAAAGAGGUGCAUGUUAAUUAUUUUUCCAAUGGGUAUUAAGUGUUUUAUGUACAGUAUUGUCAUUGUGUAUUAGUUUUAAAUGUAUACUUUUGUUACAUUUAUAAUUGUGUACUCUUUGAUUAUAUGCAUAUUUGUAGAAUUUGCUGGGAUGAAAGGUAUUUAACUGUUACUAUAGUGUUGAUAUGAUGAUGCAGGCUACUCUUUAUUUUGGACCAUUUAUUUUGAGCGUUGAGUUCACAGAGCAUCUGUUUAAUGGGUUCCAGUAUAGAGGAACUGCUGAGUUCAACUAGCUCACUGAAGGCAGAUUAAGACCAUAUAAAGUCAAUGAUGACUGAGGAGAGAAGAGACAGUUAGUUGGAGAGACAGUGGUCUGAUACAAGACAGGAAGUUGGUGCAGGAAGUCUACAUGAUGGCAGAAUGGUGUUAACAUCUACUAGUCACUGUUUAUCUUCAUCUUUUGUGCAUCUCCCAGAAUAACAAUAUCAUCUACUUUCAGUUUAUAUCUAUUUAGAAGUUAUCGCGUCAGCUUUUAUGUUGAGUGUUAAAUCGAAUAAAUAAUUGUGACUGAAUUUAUUAAGGUUGUUUAUUAAUUGCCCUGCAAUAAAAACCUUUACAUUCAAUUUCCAUGAAA